This 253-nucleotide ribosomal RNA is filed under the name uncultured bacterium. RNAcentral describes it as "partial 16S ribosomal RNA". It matches the Rfam family "Bacterial small subunit ribosomal RNA", at positions 524 to 776 of the family's 1533-position model. The record is from RNAcentral.
UACGGAGGAGGCUAGCGUUAUUCGGAAUUACUGGGCGUAAAGCGCACGUAGGCGGACUGAAAAGUCAGAGGUGAAAUCCCAGGGCUCAACCUUGGAACUGCCUUUGAAACUCCUGGUCUUGAGGUCGAGAGAGGUGAGUGGAAUUCCGAGUGUAGAGGUGAAAUUCGUAGAUAUUCGGAGGAACACCAGUGGCGAAGGCGGCUCACUGGCCCGAUACUGACGCUGAGGAACGAAAGCGUGGGGAUCAAACAGG